Molecule: ribosomal RNA, 497 nt
Filed under: uncultured bacterium
Lineage: Bacteria
Description: partial 16S ribosomal RNA
Rfam family: Bacterial small subunit ribosomal RNA
Source: RNAcentral
GACGAACGCUGGCGGCGUGCCUAAUACAUGCAAGUUGAGCGCUGAAGGUUGGUACUUGUACCAACUGGAUGAGCAGCGAACGGGUGAGUAACGCGUGGGGAAUCUGCCUUUGAGCGGGGGACAACAUUUGGAAACGAAUGCUAAUACCGCAUAAAAACUUUAAACACAAGUUUUAAGUUUGAAAGAUGCAAUUGCAUCACUCAAAGAUGAUCCCGCGUUGUAUUAGCUAGUCGGUGAGGUAAAGGCUCACCAAGGCGAUGAUACAUAGCCGACCUGAGAGGGUGAUCGGCCACAUUGGGACUGAGACACGGCCCAAACUCCUACGGGAGGCAGCAGUAGGGAAUCUUCGGCAAUGGACGAAAGUCUGACCGAGCAACGCCGCGGGAGUGAAGAAGGUUUUCGGAUCGUAAAACUCUGUUGGUAGAGAAGAACGUUGGUGAGAGUGGAAAGCUCAUCAAGUGACGGUAACUACCCAGAAAGGGACGGCUAACUACGUG